GAAAUUUUAGUUUAAAUAAAAAAUAAUUCAGUUACAAUGAAGAGUUUAAUAGGAGUUAAAAUUUUA
This 66-nucleotide transfer RNA is filed under the name Bombus pyrosoma. RNAcentral's name for it is "tRNA-Val". Lineage: Eukaryota; Metazoa; Arthropoda; Insecta; Hymenoptera; Apidae. The record is from RNAcentral.